This 253-nucleotide ribosomal RNA is filed under the name uncultured bacterium. Its description in RNAcentral is "partial 16S ribosomal RNA". It matches the Rfam family "Bacterial small subunit ribosomal RNA", at positions 524 to 776 of the family's 1533-position model. The record is from RNAcentral.
UACGGGGGGGGCAAGCGUUGUUCGGAAUUACUGGGCGUAAAGGGCUCGUAGGUGGCCAACUAAGUCAGACGUGAAAUCCCCAGGCUUAACCUGGGAACUGCGUCUGAUACUGGAUGGCUUGAAUUCGGGAGAGGGAUGCAGAAUUCCAGGUGUAGCGGUGAAAUGCGUAGAUAUCUAGAGGAAUACCGGUGGCGAAGGCGGCAUCCUGGACCGAGAUUGACACUGAUGAGCGAAAGCUAGGGGAGCAAACGGG